UACGAAGGGUGCAAGCGUUGUUCGGAAUUAUUGGGCGUAAAGCGCGCGCAGGCGGAUAAGCAAGUCAGAUGUGAAAUCUCGGGGCUCAACCUCGAAACUGCGUCUGAAACUGCUUGUCUAGAGUACUGUAGGGGACAGGGGAAUUUCACGUGUAGGGGUAAAAUCCGUAGAGAUGUGAAGGAACACCGGAGGCGAAGGCGCCUGUCUGGCCAGUAACUGACGCUGAGGCGCGAAAGCGUGGGGAGCAAACAGG
Molecule: ribosomal RNA, 253 nt
Filed under: uncultured bacterium
Lineage: Bacteria
Description: partial 16S ribosomal RNA
Rfam family: Bacterial small subunit ribosomal RNA
Source: RNAcentral